RNAcentral lists this ribosomal RNA (1179 nucleotides) under Halomonas sp. RNAcentral describes it as "bacterial SSU rRNA". It matches the Rfam family "Bacterial small subunit ribosomal RNA", at positions 54 to 1244 of the family's 1533-position model. Lineage: Bacteria; Pseudomonadati; Pseudomonadota; Gammaproteobacteria; Oceanospirillales; Halomonadaceae. The record is from RNAcentral.
GGUGGUCGAGUCGAGCGGCAGCACGGGGAGCUUGCUCCCUGGUGGCGAGCGGCGGACGGGUGAGUAAUGCAUAGGAAUCUGCCCGGUAGUGGGGGAUAACCUGGGGAAACCCAGGCUAAUACCGCAUACGCCCUACGGGGGAAAGCAGGGGCUCUUCGGACCUUGCGCUAUCGGAUGAGCCUAUGUCGGAUUAGCUGGUUGGUGAGGUAAUGGCUCACCAAGGCGACGAUCCGUAGCUGGUCUGAGAGGAUGAUCAGCCACAUCGGGACUGAGACACGGCCCGAACUCCUACGGGAGGCAGCAGUGGGGAAUAUUGGACAAUGGGCGCAAGCCUGAUCCAGCCAUGCCGCGUGUGUGAAGAAGGCCUUCGGGUUGUAAAGCACUUUCAGUGGGGAAGAAAGCCUGGCGGUUAAUACCCGCGAGGAAGGACAUCACCCACAGAAGAAGCACCGGCUAACUCCGUGCCAGCAGCCGCGGUAAUACGGAGGGUGCGAGCGUUAAUCGGAAUUACUGGGCGUAAAGCGCGCGUAGGUGGCUUGAUAAGCCGGUUGUGAAAGCCCCGGGCUCAACCUGGGAACGGCAUCCGGAACUGUCAGGCUAGAGUGCAGGAGAGGAAGGUAGAAUUCCCGGUGUAGCGGUGAAAUGCGUAGAGAUCGGGAGGAAUACCAGUGGCGAAGGCGGCCUUCUGGACUGACACUGACACUGAGGUGCGAAAGCGUGGGUAGCAAACAGGAUUAGAUACCCUGGUAGUCCACGCCGUAAACGAUGUCGACUAGCCGUUGGGUCCUUCGCGGACUUUGUGGCGCAGUUAACGCGAUAAGUCGACCGCCUGGGGAGUACGGCCGCAAGGUUAAAACUCAAAUGAAUUGACGGGGGCCCGCACAAGCGGUGGAGCAUGUGGUUUAAUUCGAUGCAACGCGAGAACCUUACCUACCCUUGACAUCCUCGGAAUCUGCCGGAGACGGCGGAGUGCCUUCGGAACCGAGUGACAGGUGCUGCAUGGCUGUCGUCAGCUCGUGUGUGAAAUGUUGGGUUAAGUCCCGUACGAGCGCACCCUGUCCUAUUUGCCAGCGAGUAAGUCGGACUCUAGGAGACUGCCGGUGACAAUCGAGAGGUGGGACGACGUCAGUCAUCAUGCCUUACGGUAGGCUACACACGUGCUACAAUGUUCGUACAAAG